Capra hircus (goat) is the source of this 73-nucleotide non-coding RNA. Lineage: Eukaryota; Metazoa; Chordata; Mammalia; Artiodactyla; Bovidae. The record is from the annotation of a RefSeq genome assembly.
UCCCUGGUGGUCCAGUGGGUAGGACUUGGUGCUUUCACCACCAUGGUUCCAGGUUCAAUCUCUGGUCAGGGAA